RNAcentral lists this ribosomal RNA (726 nucleotides) under gamma proteobacterium IMCC15172. RNAcentral describes it as "bacterial SSU rRNA". It matches the Rfam family "Bacterial small subunit ribosomal RNA", at positions 39 to 764 of the family's 1533-position model. Lineage: Bacteria; Pseudomonadati; Pseudomonadota; Gammaproteobacteria. The record is from RNAcentral.
GCGGCAGGCCUAACACAUGCAAGUCGAGCGCGAAAACACUUCGGUGUGAGUAGAGCGGCGGACGGGUGAGUAAUGCUUGGGAAUCUGCCCAGUAGUGGGGGAUAACGUGUGGAAACGCACGCUAAUACCGCAUACCUCCUACGGGAGAAAGCAGGGGAUCUUCGGACCUUGCGCUAUUGGAUGAGCCCAAGUCGGAUUAGCUAGUUGGUGGGGUAAUGGCCUACCAAGGCGACGAUCCGUAGCUGGUCUGAGAGGAUGAUCAGCCACACUGGGACUGAGACACGGCCCAGACUCCUACGGGAGGCAGCAGUGGGGAAUAUUGCACAAUGGGCGAAAGCCUGAUGCAGCCAUGCCGCGUGUGUGAAGAAGGCUCUAGGGUUGUAAAGCACUUUCAGUAGGGAGGAAAAGCUUAAGGUUAAUAACCUUGAGCCCUGACGUUACCUACAGAAGAAGCACCGGCAAACUCCGUGCCAGCAGCCGCGGUAAUACGGAGGGUGCGAGCGUUAAUCGGAAUUACUGGGCGUAAAGCGCGCGUAGGUGGUUUGAUAAGCUAGCUGUGAAAGCCCCGGGCUCAACCUGGGAACUGCAGUUAGAACUGUCUGGCUAGAGUACAGUAGAGGGUGGCGGAAUUUCCUGUGUAGCGGUGAAAUGCGUAGAUAUAGGAAGGAACAUCAGUGGCGAAGGCGGCCACCUGGACUGAUACUGACACUGAGUGCGAAAGAUUCA